This is a non-coding RNA of Pelobates cultripes (western spadefoot toad), 317 nucleotides long. Lineage: Eukaryota; Metazoa; Chordata; Amphibia; Anura; Pelobatidae. The record is from the annotation of a GenBank genome assembly.
CCUUAAUCCUAGCUGUGAUAUAAUUCUACGUGCUCGAUCAACUAGUAAUCCUGACACCUUCAUCACCCCUGUCAACACCUCAUUAUCACUUGUAACCGCAGUGUUCUAAAUGAUCGGCUCAGUGGUUGCCGUACGCAUGCACUAACACGUGGUGGCGGCCAUCUUGAGCCACGAACGCAAGCAGUGCUGUUUGGUCAUCGAGUGCAUGGAUUUCAAAUCAGACACUCGACCUCCCAAACACAGUUAAACUUCCUUUCCCACCUGAGUUUGUUUCUAUUAUCCGAAAGACACACUGUUCAGUGGGAGCAGACUCCGAG